GGCCAGUGAACUGGCAAGAGCUCAUAUUUGAAAGGCACUUUUGUGCCGUUGUAUUCUUCAGUUAGGGUCCUGAGAAACGAUGCUUAAGUCUUCUGGAAAGGAGCGCCACCCAGGGUGAUAGCCCCGUCUAGCAUUGACCUCAUAUUCGAUCUUAACUUGUUUUCGAGUUGUUUGGGAAUGCUUGUUUAUGGGUGGUAUGCUCCAUCUAAAGCUAUAUAUCUGCAAGAGACCGACCGUUAACAAGUACUGUGAGGGAAACAUGAAAAGAACUUUGAAAAGAGAGUGAAAAAGUACGUGAAAUUGUUGAAAUGGAAUGGUAGGCCGCUCACCAUGUAAAACCGUGUUUGGGGGGAAGAUAAAUGCUGUAUAAUGUAACUCCUCGGAGUAUUAUACAUGCAAUUCAUAUUCCCACCCGAGCGCGACGAUCUCACGUUCUACUCCCUGGUGGUCUACCACCCCUCUUGAAACACAGACCCAAA
This 479-nucleotide ribosomal RNA is filed under the name Starmerella bacillaris. RNAcentral's name for it is "partial large subunit ribosomal RNA". It matches the Rfam family "Eukaryotic large subunit ribosomal RNA", at positions 88 to 671 of the family's 3401-position model. Lineage: Eukaryota; Fungi; Ascomycota; Dipodascomycetes; Dipodascales; Trichomonascaceae. The record is from RNAcentral.